GGAUGUAGUUCAGUUGGUUAGAGCGUCAGAUUGUGGUUCUGAAUGUCGUGGGUUCGAGCCCCACCCUC
RNAcentral lists this transfer RNA (68 nucleotides) under Hoylesella pleuritidis. The stretch from base 5 to 65 matches the Rfam family "tRNA", at positions 7 to 64 of the family's 71-position model. Rfam says of the family: Transfer RNA (tRNA) molecules are approximately 80 nucleotides in length. Their secondary structure includes four short double-helical elements and three loops (D, anti-codon, and T loops). Lineage: Bacteria; Pseudomonadati; Bacteroidota; Bacteroidia; Bacteroidales; Prevotellaceae. RNAcentral also lists the same sequence under 6 other names. The record is from RNAcentral.